CUCCCUGUGAAUCUCUCUCCAAUGCCCUAAGCCCAGUCUAGUACAGAGAGGGAAAAGGGGCCUCUGGGGAAAGAAAACCCCACUGAGUGGUACCCAAGGUCCCUUGUCUCCCUGGGGGUCAGGAAUACAUCUUCUCCCUUUUUUGUCUCUGUUGGUGCUCUUUUUCCCCCCUGGAAGAAGACAUGAAGAGAAGUGAAGAGGGGAACCAGUAAGGCAGGGUCUUCGUGGACCCGCAGUCUUUGGAAAUGCGGUGAUAAAUCCACUAAGUCUCUUUAAUGUGUCUUUCGGAAGUUCACACACACACACACAGAGACCAGAACAAGGUGGGGAGCAGAGACGGGGAGACGAUCAUCCUGGCUUCCCUUCUGCCCAGCUGCCCAGGGGUGGGGCGGUGGAAGGGGUAUUUACAGAGUAGGGGACGCGUUUCUUAUCAGGGUGCCCGGUCCUAAAGUGAGACCUUCCAAAUUUCCUUUCAAAAACAACAAAAAGAGAGGUUCUGGAAUUAGCAAGAAAAUAGGCAGAGACCGGGGUGGAGUAGGGCGAAAUGGCACUAGCAAAAAAGGGUGUGAGUGUGGGGCGCGGCUCCCCCGGGGUUAGGCUUGGCCCAGUCGCCUGGACGAGGGGACCGGACUGGGUUCGCUGUCCGCUCCCAGGGCCGCAAACCCCACCACCCGCGGGACUCACCCAGCAGGCGAGAAGAGGGCGGAGCCUGCCGACUCGGAGGCGGGGUUUAGCCCGACUUGGGCGGAGCUAUGGAUGAGGCGGGGCUUCGGGACCAGAGUACUGGCAGAAAGCCUAGACCCAAGGACCUGGGCUGGGAGCGAAGCGUUUAGGGAGGGCUUGGAACUGGGGUGCCCGAGGGCCCGGCGGGUGGCGGGGACCCCGGGAGGCGGCGUCUCUGGGGGUCUGGGUUUUGCAGGGGUUCCUGAGGAGCCGGCUUGGAGCGUGCUCGCCAGGCGAGAGGCUCCGUGGAGGCGGAGUUGAGGAUGCGAGGAAGUCCCGCGGCGCGACCGCAGAGCGCUCCCGGGAGGUCGCCGGGCACAGAGAGGGCCGGGCCGGGGCGUCUUCAGGGGUCCCAGUAGUUCUCGUGGUGCUGCGCGGCGAUGAUGAUGACGACGAGAUAAGCAACUUCUCCAAGCUUCUACCUGCUGAACACAACCAGCACCCUCCUCACGCCUGCCUAAAAGUGACAGAAUAUGCAGAUGGCAUCCCCAGGAGGCAAGAGCCCAGUUUCCUUUCUCCUGGGAGGACGUAGAACCGGAGAGGGCUCGAGACAGACGUUAAAGCAGGUGUGGUCUGCAUGGUCUUUCUGUGCUCCCCUCCCCUCUGUUCCUUACUGGAGAAGACCCUUGGCCGCUGGACAGGGUGAGAUGGUAAUUUGAAGCAAAUAGCCUCCCCAUCUCUUCAAAACUAGAUGUGAAUAAAUUCUUUUUUCCUUUUUACCACAAAACAUGGCCUCCUUUGAUGUGAUCAGCAGAGAGCAAACCGACCCAAGCCUAGGAGAGGCCGAUAACAGUACUGGGGGAUGGCUACAUCUCCUACCUCCUACCCCACUUUUAAAAAUUUCAAAAACAGCCUCACUAAAUUACCCAGGCUGGGCCUGAAUUCUCGAUCUGCUUGUCUCAGCCUUCCAGCGUGCUGGGAUUACAAGCAUCUGCCACCACGCCCGGGCUGGGUGCCUUCGUCCAGGGUUACCGAGCUGAAAUAAGAGGGGAAGGUGCCUAAACCGCGCAUUUCUAGCAGGUUGGUCUGGACACGCACGCCUCUUUGCUUUUGGAUCGGGAGGAAACUUCCUGGGCAGGUCGGUGUUCAUAUCCCUUCCAUGAAUCCUUCUCACCCACCCACCACCGGGAGUCGACCUGAGGCACAGCGCUUAUGGAGCGCACGGUCUUUGGCAUUCUGGAGGCGCGUGGGUGGGGAGAGGGUAGGGACAGGCAAUCUACCGGGAUCUACACCAGUUAGGCUUUUUGCCGAAACACAGCAGAGAUUGCCACCCCCACCCAGCACUCCCAGCCUCCACCCGAGGCCGAGUCCCUGGUGACAAAGGCCUCGCCCGAGCCAGUCCCAGGCCACAAUUUAGGUCGCGGCGUCAUCACCGGUCGUUCUGGUUCUCCGGCGUUUCGCGAUCCCUUACUCCCACCCAUGCGUACUCCACACUUCUGAGCUUGAGUGGGUUUUAUUGGAAAACUAGAGUUCAGACCAAGCAAGAGGCUCAGACCUGCUGGGAAACCCUUUUCUCAAGGGACAAGUCUUUAACUGCUAAGUAAAAGCCCUAACACAAAAGCCCGGGCUGGGGCGGGGAGAGCUCAGGUCGGGAGCCGC
Molecule: long non-coding RNA, 2322 nt
Organism: Fukomys damarensis (Damara mole-rat)
Lineage: Eukaryota; Metazoa; Chordata; Mammalia; Rodentia; Bathyergidae
Source: Ensembl